RNAcentral lists this ribosomal RNA (1069 nucleotides) under Enterococcus faecium. RNAcentral describes it as "bacterial SSU rRNA". It matches the Rfam family "Bacterial small subunit ribosomal RNA", at positions 36 to 1076 of the family's 1533-position model. The record is from RNAcentral. Lineage: Bacteria; Bacillati; Bacillota; Bacilli; Lactobacillales; Enterococcaceae.
CGGGGGGGGGGCCUAAUAAUGCAAGUCGAACGCUUCUUUUUCCACCGGAGCUUGCUCCCCCGGAAAAAGAGGAGUGGCGAACGGGUGAGUAACACGUGGGUAACCUGCCCAUCAGAAGGGGAUAACACUUGGAAACAGGUGCUAAUACCGUAUAACAAUUUAAACCGCAUGGUUUUGAUUUGAAAGGCGCUUUCGGGUGUCGCUGAUGGAUGGACCCGCGGUGCAUUAGCUAGUUGGUGAGGUAACGGCUCACCAAGGCCACGAUGCAUAGCCGACCUGAGAGGGUGAUCGGCCACAUUGGGACUGAGACACGGCCCAAACUCCUACGGGAGGCAGCAGUAGGGAAUCUUCGGCAAUGGACGAAAGUCUGACCGAGCAACGCCGCGUGAGUGAAGAAGGUUUUCGGAUCGUAAAACUCUGUUGUUAGAGAAGAACAAGGAUGAGAGUAACUGAUCAUCCCUUGACGGUAUCUAACCAGAAAGCCACGGCUAACUACGUGCCAGCAGCCGCGGUAAUACGUAGGUGGCAAGCGUUGUCCGGAUUUAUUGGGCGUAAAGCGAGCGCAGGCGGUUUCUUAAGUCUGAUGUGAAAGCCCCCGGCUCAACCGGGGAGGGUCAUUGGAAACUGGGAGACUUGAGUGCAGAAGAGGAGAGUGGAAUUCCAUGUGUAGCGGUGAAAUGCGUAGAUAUAUGGAGGAACACCAGUGGCGAAGGCGGCUCUCUGGUCUGUAACUGACGCUGAGGCUCGAAAGCGUGGGGAGCAAACAGGAUUAGAUACCCUGGUAGUCCACGCCGUAAACGAUGAGUGCUAAGUGUUGGAGGGUUUCCGCCCUUCAGUGCUGCAGCUAACGCAUUAAGCACUCCGCCUGGGGAGUACGACCGCAAGGUUGAAACUCAAAGGAAUUGACGGGGGCCCGCACAAGCGGUGGAGCAUGUGGUUUAAUUCGAAGCAACGCGAAGAACCUUACCAGGUCUUGACAUCCUUUGACCACUCUAGAGAUAGAGCUUUCCCUUCGGGGGCAAAGUGACAGGUGGUGCAUGGUUGUCGUCAGCUCGUGUCGUGAGAUGUU